AGCCUGAACGCUGGCGGCGUGGCUAAGACAUGCAAGUCGUACGGAUGUAGCAAUACAUCAGUGGCGAACGGGAGAGUAAUAAAUCGCUAAUGUACCCCGGACUCUGGGAUAGCUACCCGAAAGGGUAGGUAAUACCAGAUGAUAUAACCUUAUCGCAUGAUAAGGUUCUCAAAGGUCCGCCGGUCUGGGAGCAGGCGAUUCCGUAUCAGCUAGUUGGUGAGGUAACGGCUCACCAAGGCGAUGACGCGUAGCCGGACUGAGAGGUUGGCCGGCCUCAUUGGGACUGAGACACUGCCCAGACUCCUACGGGGGGCUGCAGUAACGAAUCUUCCGCAAUGCACGAAAGUGUGACGGAGCGACGCCGCGUGUGGGACGAAGCCCUUCGGGGUGCAAACCACUGUCAGGGGAUAGAAAGUUCUGAUCAUCCCCAGAGGAAGGCACGGCUAACUCUGCGCCAGCAGCCGCGGU
Molecule: ribosomal RNA, 468 nt
Filed under: uncultured bacterium
Lineage: Bacteria
Description: SSU rRNA
Rfam family: Bacterial small subunit ribosomal RNA
Source: RNAcentral